GACGUAGGAUGCAAGCGUUGUCCGGAUUUAUUGGGCGUAAAGAGUUCGUAGGUGGUUUGUUAAGUUUGGUGUUAAAGAUUGGGGCUCAACCCUGAAACUGCACUGAAUACUGGCAGACUCGAGUGUGGUAGAGGCUAGUGGAAUUUCCGGUGUAGCGGUGAAAUGCGUAGAGAUCGGAAGGAACACCAGUGGCGAAGGCGACUGCCUGGACCAAUACUGACGCUGAGGUGCGAAAGCGUGGGGAGCAAACAGGAUUAGAUACCCCGGUAGU
RNAcentral lists this ribosomal RNA (271 nucleotides) under uncultured archaeon. RNAcentral's name for it is "partial 16S ribosomal RNA". It matches the Rfam family "Bacterial small subunit ribosomal RNA", at positions 524 to 794 of the family's 1533-position model. The record is from RNAcentral.